GUACCUUACAUUUUACCCAUUUUAUACAAAUGUCAUCUACAUCACUUCUCACGCCACCACGCUCUGUUAGCUCGCUCCCUCAAACCCCCGUAACAUAAUUUUCGAACUUUCCGAUCGUGCGUUCCUCCUCUCCCUCACAAAUCCAGUGCCUUUCCAGCGCUGCUCUUUCCAGGCGUGUCAAAUGGUACACGAACAAGAACAAAUUUAUUUUCAGGAACUUUUGGGGAACGAAUGGGGGUAUGAUUAAAAGCGGAGAAGAUUGUGUGCCGAGUUCCAAGCUCCAUUGUUGUUCUGCGGUCAGUCGCGCGACAAACUAG
This 317-nucleotide long non-coding RNA is filed under the name Drosophila guanche. The record is from RNAcentral. Lineage: Eukaryota; Metazoa; Arthropoda; Insecta; Diptera; Drosophilidae.